AACGAACGCUGGCGGCAUGCCUAACACAUGCAAGUCGAACGAGACCUUCGGGUCUAGUGGCGUACGGGUGCGUCACGCGUGGGAACCUGCCCUUAGGUUCGGAAUAACUCCCCGAAAGGGGUGCUAAUACCGGACAAUGUCUUCGGACCAAAGAUUUAUCGCCCUUGGAUGGGCCCGCGUUGGAUUAGCUAGUUGGUAGGGUAAAAGCCUACUACGGCGACGAUUCAUAGCUGGUCUGAGAGGAUGAUCAGCCACACUGGGACGAGGACGCGGCCCAGACUCUUACGGGAGGCAGCAGUGGGGAAUAUUGGACAGUGGGCGGAAGCCUGAUGCAGCAAGGACGGGUGAGUGAUGAAGGUCUUAGAGUUGUAAAGCGCUUUUACCCGGGAUGAUAAUGACAGUACCGGGAGAAUAAGCCACGGCUAACUACGUG
This 433-nucleotide ribosomal RNA is filed under the name uncultured bacterium. RNAcentral's name for it is "partial 16S ribosomal RNA". It matches the Rfam family "Bacterial small subunit ribosomal RNA", at positions 29 to 507 of the family's 1533-position model. The record is from RNAcentral.